Molecule: non-coding RNA, 45 nt
Filed under: Schistosoma margrebowiei
Lineage: Eukaryota; Metazoa; Platyhelminthes; Trematoda; Strigeidida; Schistosomatidae
Source: RNAcentral
AUCCAGCUGACGAGUCUUGAACAGGACGAAACACACGUUCUGGAU